CAGCCGUAAACAAUGUGCGUUAGGUGUGUCGGUAACCACGUGUUACUGAUGCGCCGAAGAGAAAUCGUGAAACGCACCACCUGGGAAGUACGGUCGCAAGGCUGAAACUUAAAGGAAUUGGCGGGGGAGCACCACAACAGGUGGAGCCUGCGGUUUAAUUGGACUCAACGCCGGGAAGCUCACCGGAUAAGACAGCGGAAUGAUUGCCGGGCUGAAGACUCCGCAUGACUAGCUGAGAGGAGGUGCAUGGCGUAGACGUCU
This 261-nucleotide ribosomal RNA is filed under the name uncultured archaeon. RNAcentral's name for it is "partial 16S ribosomal RNA". It matches the Rfam family "Archaeal small subunit ribosomal RNA", at positions 748 to 1009 of the family's 1478-position model. The record is from RNAcentral.